Long non-coding RNA from Panicum virgatum (switchgrass), 1427 nucleotides. RefSeq lists it as uncharacterized. The record is from RefSeq and is a predicted model, not a curated record. The transcript has 2 exons. Lineage: Eukaryota; Viridiplantae; Streptophyta; Magnoliopsida; Poales; Poaceae.
CAGGCGAGGAGGCGGCGCUGUGGCUUCCUGCGAGCUUCGGGGCGUGGCGGAGGUCCACGACGGAGUCAGAUCCGGCCGCGGCAAAGUCCUCCGCCGGCUGGGAAAUAGCUAGAGGCCGAGCAGUGAGGAACGAGUAUUAGUAGUACUUGCCUGUUAUUUAUUUUACCAAUGCAUCUCGGAUCUAUUAUUAUAAGUAGCACUUGUCCUUUUAUCACUGCAUCUCGGAUCUAGUAAUAGGAUUUGCAGUACUUCCUACAAGAUCGUCUCUUAUGAUGAGCUUGUUCACGAUUCGGCCACUGCAACUUUGAAUUCUGAAAUGACUACCGGUUAGUGGUUGGGCGGAAAAUGCGUGGUAAUGAUGCUUCUGUCGACAUCUAGUUACUUAUAUCAAAUAAUAAGUUUUCUAGACUGAAUCCAAAGGCACACUGUCAUGCUGGUUUUCAGUUCACACUGCAUAAUGUAACUCUUAUAAGCUGCAUUUAGUAACUAUGAUGAUUUAUGUCAAUUUGUUACUAUUUCCUACCUGGGAAUUUAUGGUACAUUUUCUUCUCCUUAAGAAGCAGAUAAGGUAAAUUUGCACUUAGCAACAUUUGAGACUCUGUUAAUUAAGACUCUGUUUCACAGCAAUAGUUCUAUAUCCCAGCACUGAUUUCAAACAUUUUCUACCAUCCUAUUGUCAUGGUUACUUUGUCUAACUUGUGUUGAUUUGUGCAAUGCAGGUGAUUGUUGAGAAUGCUGAGUUAGUUAUCAACUUCUCUAAGUUACCAUAACUGCUAUACUUUUUACAAUGACUAUCCACAUCUUUAAUUGUUUAUGGGUAAUUCUAGUAGGGUUUCUACCCUUUCUUUCCCCUGAUGACUGAUGGCAGUUGGUGCCAUAAUUUGGCUACCCCAAGACAAAUAUAUAACACUAUAUUCAAUUGUCUCACUCAUUAUCAUUACAGAAAGUGCUCACUGCUCUCAUCUCAAUAUUUUUACACAUCUCCAUAUACUUUUGUGUGUUCACUGUUUUUUAUUUAACAAUUAGGCAGUAACACAUCUCCAUAUACUUAUUGCAAGAUUAUUUCAAAUUGCAGAAGCUAAACUGAGCAUUAUGAAUGUGUAUGCUGAUUCCUAAUGAUAUAUAUCAAGAAAAUGCCUUUCAAACCCUCCUAAUUGUGAGAGGGACAUGAUGGUUUAAGUGCAACUUGGAGUAGCAAGUGAGCUCAUAUGCAUUGGUGAAGGAUCUUUUUACGUUUGUGUUAAGUAGAUCAAGUCCUGUUAGAUUGAUUCAAUAGUUUUCAACUGAGUUGAUUGUAACUUGCUACUGGAAUAUCUAUGAAUAUUUCUGCUCAUUAAAAUUACUGCAUAUCAGCAGCAAUGUAUUUUUUAUGUGCCAUAUGUUGUUCCUAUAAUAUUAUUGGAAGAAUAAUGAUAUGUUGCCGGUCA